RNAcentral lists this ribosomal RNA (338 nucleotides) under Epiperipatus lucerna. Its description in RNAcentral is "partial small subunit ribosomal RNA". Lineage: Eukaryota; Metazoa; Onychophora; Udeonychophora; Euonychophora; Peripatidae. The record is from RNAcentral.
CCCUGCUAUUCUAAAAAAAUAAUAUAUUUCAAAGAAAAAAAACAAAAUAAAUUUGACGGUAUUAACCUUUACAAAGGAAUUUGUUUCUAAAUCGAAAACACACGAUAAACCUUACUUAAUUUAUAUUUGUAUACCACCGUAUAUAGAAAUUAUUUAAAAUUAAUUUCAUAAAAAAUAACCUUAAAAUAUCAGGUCAAGGUGCAAUUUAAUUAAGAUGAAAUGAAUUACAAUAUUCAUAAACAUAUAAGAAAUGAAACUUUCUUAAAAAAAGAAUUUGAUAGUAAAAUUUUAUCAUAAUGUUAAUUUGAAAAAAUACAUUAAUAUGUACAUAUCGCCCG